RNAcentral lists this transfer RNA (72 nucleotides) under Heterocephalus glaber (naked mole-rat). It matches the Rfam family "tRNA". From Rfam's summary of the family: Transfer RNA (tRNA) molecules are approximately 80 nucleotides in length. Their secondary structure includes four short double-helical elements and three loops (D, anti-codon, and T loops). The record is from Rfam by way of RNAcentral. Lineage: Eukaryota; Metazoa; Chordata; Mammalia; Rodentia; Bathyergidae.
UGGAGUGUAGCUCAGUGGUAGAGUGCUUGUCUGGCACACAUGAGCCUCUGGGUUCAAAUCCCAGAACUGAAA